GACGAACGCUGGCGGCGUGCUUAACACAUGCAAGUCGAACGGAAAGGCCCUGCUUUUGUGGGGUGCUCGAUUGGCGAACGGGUGAGUAACACGUGAGUAACCUGCCCUUGACUUUGGGAUAACUUCAGGAAACUGGGGCUAAUACCGGAUAUGAUCUCCUGCUGCAUGUUGGUGGUUGGAAAGUUUCGGCGGUUGGGGAUGGACUCGCGGCUUAUCAGCUUGUUGGUGUGGUAGUGGCUUACCAAGGCUUUGACGGGUAGCCUGCAUGAGAGGGUGACCGGCCACAAUGGGACUGAGAGACGGACCAGAAGCCUACGGGAGGCAGCAGGCGGGAAUAUUGCACAAUGGGGGGAAGCCUGAUGCAGAAACGCUGCGUGCGGGAUGAUGGGUUACGGGUGGUAAACAGAUUUGGAAGGUGACGAAGAGGGAGUGACGGUAAUGGGUAAAGAAGCAACGGCUAACUACGUG
RNAcentral lists this ribosomal RNA (468 nucleotides) under uncultured bacterium. RNAcentral describes it as "partial 16S ribosomal RNA". It matches the Rfam family "Bacterial small subunit ribosomal RNA", at positions 28 to 507 of the family's 1533-position model. The record is from RNAcentral.